This 380-nucleotide ribosomal RNA is filed under the name uncultured bacterium. RNAcentral's name for it is "bacterial SSU rRNA". It matches the Rfam family "Bacterial small subunit ribosomal RNA", at positions 165 to 546 of the family's 1533-position model. The record is from RNAcentral.
CAUACCGGAUGUGCCCGCAAGGGGAAAGGAAGCUUCGGCCUCCGCAUCGAGAUGGGCCCGCGGCCCAUUAGCUUGUUGGUGAGGUAAGGGCUCACCAAGGCUUCNAUGGGUAGCUGGUCUGAAAGGACGAUCAGCCACACUGGGACUGAGACACGGCCCAAACUCCUACGGGAGGCAGCAGUGGGGAAUCUUGCGCAAUGCGCGAAAGCGUGACGCAGCAACGCCGCGUGGGGGAAGAAGGCUUGCGGGUUGUAAACCCCUUUCAGUUGGGACGAAGCUCUGCCGGUGAAUAGCCGGUUGGAGUGACGGUACCUUCACAAGAAGCACCGGCUAACUACGUGCCAGCAGCCGCGGUAAUACGUAGGGUGCAAGCGUUGUCC